This 383-nucleotide ribosomal RNA is filed under the name uncultured Lactobacillus sp. RNAcentral's name for it is "bacterial SSU rRNA". It matches the Rfam family "Bacterial small subunit ribosomal RNA", at positions 57 to 394 of the family's 1533-position model. Lineage: Bacteria; Bacillati; Bacillota; Bacilli; Lactobacillales; Lactobacillaceae. The record is from RNAcentral.
GCAAAACUUCACCGAAUGCUUCGUGCCGCCCCGCCCGGGGCGCGCGGGCGGGGGGGAGCAUUCACCGAAAGUUUUGAGUGGCGAACGGGUGAGUAACACGUGGGUAACCUGCCCAGAAGAGGGGGAUAACACUUGGAAACAGGUGCUAAUACCGCAUAACAAUAAAAACGCAUGGUUUUAUUUAAAAGAUGGUUUUGCUAUCACUUCUGGAUGGACCCCCCGCGGCGUAUUAGCUAGUUGGUAGGGUAAAGGCUUACCAAGGCAAUGAUACGUAGCCGAACUGAGAGGUUGAUCGGCCACAUUGGGACUGAGACACGGCCCAAACUCCUACGGGAGGCAGCAGUAGGGAAUCUUCCACAAUGGACGAAAGUCUGAUGGAGCAA